AGGUACCACUCGGACACCUGCGCUUGCUGCGCGUGGUCCCUACCCACCUGACGACUGCACGCGAUGUCGUGUCAGCU
Molecule: small RNA, 77 nt
Filed under: Xanthomonas axonopodis pv. begoniae
Lineage: Bacteria; Pseudomonadati; Pseudomonadota; Gammaproteobacteria; Lysobacterales; Lysobacteraceae
Also listed under: 1 other name
Description: sX9 sRNA
Rfam family: Xanthomonas sRNA sX9
Source: RNAcentral